GUGGGGAAUAUUGGACAAUGGGGGCAACCCUGAUCCAGCCAUGCCGCGUGAGUGAAGAAGGCCUUCGGGUUGUAAAGCUCUUUUGGCGGGGACGAUGAUGACGGUACCCGCAGAAUAAGCCCCGGCUAACUUCGUGCCAGCAGCCGCGGUAAGACGAAGGGGGCUAGCGUUGUUCGGAAUUACUGGGCGUAAAGGGCGCGUAGGCGGUUUGUUAAGUCAGGCGUGAAAGCCCUGGGCUCAACCUGGGAUGUGCGUUUGAUACUGGCAAGCUUGAGUGCAGGAGAGGAUGGUGGAAUUCCCAGUGUAGAGGUGAAAUUCGUAGAUAUUGGGAAGAACACCGGUGGCGAAGGCGGCCAUCUGGACUGCAACUGACGCUGAGGCGCGAAAGCGUGGGGAGCAAACAGGAUUAGAAACCCUAGUAGUCC
RNAcentral lists this ribosomal RNA (425 nucleotides) under uncultured bacterium. Its description in RNAcentral is "bacterial SSU rRNA". It matches the Rfam family "Bacterial small subunit ribosomal RNA", at positions 354 to 796 of the family's 1533-position model. The record is from RNAcentral.